RNAcentral lists this signal recognition particle RNA (290 nucleotides) under Phascolarctos cinereus (koala). RNAcentral describes it as "Metazoan signal recognition particle RNA (ENSPCIG00000000218.2)". It matches the Rfam family "Metazoan signal recognition particle RNA". From Rfam's summary of the family: The signal recognition particle (SRP) is a universally conserved ribonucleoprotein. Lineage: Eukaryota; Metazoa; Chordata; Mammalia; Diprotodontia; Phascolarctidae. The record is from Rfam by way of RNAcentral.
CUCACAAUGGCACAUGCCUAUAAUUCCUGCUACUGGGAGAGGCUGAGGCUUGUGGAUUGCUUGAGCUCCAGAGCUCUGUGCUGCAGUAGGCUAAGUCAAUUGGGUAUCUGCACUCAGUCUGGCAACUACAUGGUGACCCCUCAAGAGUGGAGGACAUCUAGCUGCCUAAAGAGAAGUGAAGUGGCCCAGGCUGGAAAUGGAGUUGGCCAAAACUUCCAUGCUUAUUAGCAGUGAGAUUGAACUGUGAGUGGCCACUGCAAUUCAAUUGUGGGCAAAAUAGGGGAAAGAAA